GUCAGGAUGGCUGAGCGGUCUAAGGCUAUGCAUUAAGGCUUCUUUCGAAGUGGGUUCGAAUCCCACUUCUGACA
This is a non-coding RNA of Trichonephila clavata, 74 nucleotides long. NCBI's taxonomy places the organism in Eukaryota, Metazoa, Arthropoda, Arachnida, Araneae, Nephilidae. The record is from the annotation of a GenBank genome assembly.